Molecule: ribosomal RNA, 328 nt
Filed under: uncultured bacterium
Lineage: Bacteria
Description: bacterial SSU rRNA
Rfam family: Bacterial small subunit ribosomal RNA
Source: RNAcentral
GAUGAACGCUGGCGGCGUGCCUAACACAUGCAAGGUCGAGCGAGAAGGUGCAGACGGAUUCUUCGGAUGAAGGAAGCACUAGAGAGCGGCGGACGGGUGAGUAACGCGUGGGUAACCUGCCCUAUGGAGGGGGAUAACGUUUUGAAAAGAACGCUAAUACCGCAUAAGCAAACGAGAUCGCAUGAUCUAGUUUGAAAAACUCCGGUGCCAUAGGAUGGACCCGCGUAAGAUUAGCUAGUUGGUAAGGUAAUGGGCUUACCAAGGCGACGAUCUUUAGCCGACCUGAGAGGGUGAUCGGCCACAUUGGGACUGAGACACGGCCCAAAAC